AGGAUUUGAUGCUGGUCCAGGUAGAACCCUGGCGGUGUGGAUAAGGCAUGCAAGUCAGAGGGCCAAGACAAUAAAUGGGAGUUUUUCCCAUGAGUUGUCUUGGUACCUGGCAGACGGGUCAGUAACACGUGGGUAACCUACCCCAGAGACGGGGACAAUCUGGGAAACCAGGCUAAUCCCCGAUAGUCUGUUUGGGUGAAAUUCCCAAACAGUAAAAGGAAGGGGUAACACCCCGACCGCUCUGGGAGGGGCCCGCGGCCUAUCAGGUAGUUGGUGGGGUAAUGGCCCACCAAGCCUAUGACGGGUAGGUGGCCUGAGAGGGUGGCC
RNAcentral lists this ribosomal RNA (327 nucleotides) under Candidatus Parcubacteria bacterium. RNAcentral describes it as "bacterial SSU rRNA". It matches the Rfam family "Bacterial small subunit ribosomal RNA", at positions 8 to 305 of the family's 1533-position model. Lineage: Bacteria; Candidatus Parcubacteria. The record is from RNAcentral.